UACGUACGAGGCGAGCGUUAUCCGGAAUUACUGGGCGUAAAGCGCGCGCAGGCGGCUUGCUAAGUAGGGCGUGAAAUCUCCCGGCCUAACUGGGAGGGGUCGCUCUAAACUGGCAGGCUUGAGGAUGGCAGAGGUCGGUGGAAUUCCUGGUGUAGUGGUGAAAUGCGUAGAGAUGAGGAGGAACACCGGUGGCGAAGGCGGCCGACUGGGCCAUCACUGACGCUGAGGCGCGAAAGCUCGGGGAGCGAACGGG
This 253-nucleotide ribosomal RNA is filed under the name uncultured bacterium. Its description in RNAcentral is "partial 16S ribosomal RNA". It matches the Rfam family "Bacterial small subunit ribosomal RNA", at positions 524 to 776 of the family's 1533-position model. The record is from RNAcentral.